This is a non-coding RNA of Paramuricea clavata, 518 nucleotides long. Lineage: Eukaryota; Metazoa; Cnidaria; Anthozoa; Malacalcyonacea; Plexauridae. The record is from the annotation of a GenBank genome assembly.
AGUUAGUGACUCGUACCCAUAGAUAUCUUAUAUAUACUAGAUAGCCCAUCUCUUUUAGUAAAAUUGAAGCCAAGAAUAUUCCAGCGGUUACCCCCAUUUGAAUAGAUGGCGGCCAUGUUGGAGUUUCCCACUCACUAAUAAACGCUUAAAAAACAACAAUAACUUUCAUCAUUUGAAUAGUUUGAAAAUGUAUCUUAGAAUAGGUUUAACUUAAUGUUUAAGUUCCCUGUUUAAGAAAUAGAAAACAUACGAGUCUUCUCAUUUCAUGGGAAUAUCCUGAGUCUGCAAUCACGGCUUCAAUUUUCGAAUUGCAGAAUAAUUAGAUGCACUAUCCAGUGUAUAUAAGAUAUCUAUGCUCGUACCCCGUAUUUCAUAAUGUAUCAUUUAUAGCUUGGACGACUGCCUGCGAGUCAGGUACAGUAGAUGUCUCUUAUUACUAGUUCCAAAUCAUUAUUAUUAUUAAAAACAUUUUCUCUUAGAUAUGGCGUUUUAUGGCGAAGCAGGUAUCACGUUUGGCC